CAGAAACUCAAAGGAAUUGACGGGGCCCGCACAAGCGGUGGAGCAUGUGGUUUAAUCGAAGCAACGCGAAGAACCUUACCAGGCCUUGACAUGCAGAGAACUUUCCAGAGAUGGAUUGGUGCCUUCGGGAACUCUGACACAGGUGCUGCAUGGCUGUCGUCAGCUCGUGUCGUGAGAUGCUGGGUUAAGUCCCGUAACGAGCGCAACCCUUGUCCUUAGUUACCAGCACGUUAUGGUGGGCACUCUAAGGAGACUGCCGGUGACAAACCGGAGGAAGGUGGGGAUGACGUCAAGUCAUCAUGGCCCUUACGGCCUGGGCUACACACGUGCUACAAUGGUCGGUACAAAGGGUUGCCAAGCCGCGAGGUGGAGCUAAUCCCAUAAAACCGAUCGUAGUCCGGAUCGCAGUCUGCAACUCGACUGCGUGAAGUCGGAAUCGCUAGUAAUCGUGAAUCAGAAUGUCACGGUGAAUACGUUCCCGGGCCUU
RNAcentral lists this ribosomal RNA (487 nucleotides) under uncultured Pseudomonas sp. Its description in RNAcentral is "bacterial SSU rRNA". It matches the Rfam family "Bacterial small subunit ribosomal RNA", at positions 894 to 1382 of the family's 1533-position model. The record is from RNAcentral. Lineage: Bacteria; Pseudomonadati; Pseudomonadota; Gammaproteobacteria; Pseudomonadales; Pseudomonadaceae.